This 253-nucleotide ribosomal RNA is filed under the name uncultured bacterium. RNAcentral describes it as "partial 16S ribosomal RNA". It matches the Rfam family "Bacterial small subunit ribosomal RNA", at positions 524 to 776 of the family's 1533-position model. The record is from RNAcentral.
UACAGAGGUGGCAAGCGUUGUUCGGAAUUACUGGGCGUAAAGGGCGCGUAGGCGGUUCCGUAAGUCCCGCGUGAAAUCCCCCGGCUCAACUGGGGAACUGCGCGGGAAACUGUGGGGCUAGAGUUCAGGAGAGGGAAGCGGAAUUCCGGGUGUAGCGGUGAAAUGCGUAGAUAUCGGGAGGAACACCUGCGGUGUAGACGGCUUUCUGGACCAUUGUUGACGCUGAGACGCGAAAGCGUGGGUAGCAAACAGG